AGCCGCACCGCACCAGACAGCUGCUCACGUCCAAACAUUUCCCACAAAUCCCCUCGAACCCUAGCCGCCAUGUCCUCCCCUCGAACCCUAGCCACUCCUGCCUUCCCCUCGAGCGUAAGCAAUGGCCGAUCCAGACACCGGCCGCGCAACGCGAGUAGCGGCCCGAUCGAUCCAGCCACCGGCGGCGCGUCCCCUCGAGCGCAAGCAGCAGCCGAGCCAGCCACCGGCAGCGCGUCCCCUCGAGCGCAAGCAGCGACCGAUCCAACCAUCGGCGGUGCGGCGCGAGCAGCGGGCCAUUGAUCCAACCACCGGUGGCGCGGCGCGAGCAGGGGCCCGAUCGAUCCAACCACCGGUGACGCGACGCGAGCAGCGGCCCAAUCGAUCCAGCCAUCGGCAGGGCGGCACGAGCAACGGCUCGGUCGAUCCAACCACUUGCAGGGCGGGGCGAGCAACGGACGGUCCAACCACCGAGGGGCGGCGCAAGCAGAUCUUCCUGCUGUCCAUCGCUCCUGAGAAGAACGACGGGUCGACAGCCACAGGACCCUCCUGCCUCCUGCAGCUGCAAUAUGUUCUUUUUGGUUGGUUCAGUUCUGAAUAAAUAAUGUUAAUUGCUGGAGCAGAAGCAAUAAAGAUUGAAGUUUAGAAGUUGGAGGAUUGCGGUAAUAGUGCUACUAGCAGAUAUGGAAACAUGGAGUGUACAUUUCCAGCUAUAAACGAUCCAGCUCAGUUGGUGGUUUCACAUGCAAAGUUGAGUAAGAUGUUCUAAAGCACCCAGAAGAAGUAGAGGACAGGACAGGAGGAGGGAACAAGAAGCUUUGUUUAUCAUUGAUGUUAUAUGUGAUCAACAAAAACUUGUGCUUGUCAUCCAAUCUUUGUCGAACUAUGCUGAUGUGUGGUUAUGCACUUGUUGGGCCCUUUUGUUGUGCACCUGUACUUGUAGAACUAUUUUUUUUGCACUUGUUGGGCUUUGAACUUUUAUGUGUAGAGGAGUCGAUGGAUGAUGUAUUGUAAUUCAUGUGAUGUGUUACUGAAAUGAAAUAUAUACAACUAAUUUA
This is an RNA transcript of Hordeum vulgare subsp. vulgare (domesticated barley), 1055 nucleotides long. RefSeq lists it as uncharacterized. NCBI's taxonomy places the organism in Eukaryota, Viridiplantae, Streptophyta, Magnoliopsida, Poales, Poaceae. The transcript is spliced from 4 exons. The record is from RefSeq and is a predicted model, not a curated record.